Molecule: long non-coding RNA, 901 nt
Filed under: Pan troglodytes (chimpanzee)
Lineage: Eukaryota; Metazoa; Chordata; Mammalia; Primates; Hominidae
Description: long non-coding RNA NONPTRT015560
Source: RNAcentral
CGUUAAUGGAGGAAGUGAGGUCAGUGUGCUUCUGACAAUCCUAACAAGAUGACAGAAUUUAUGAAGCGCUGCGGUAGAAAGAUGUAGUUAUCUGCAGUCUAUUCAUAUAAUAAGGCCACUUGGGGCCCGUCGUUACUCCCCUUGAAUUUGUUUUCCUUUCUUCAUUCCUUUUUGUUGUCCGGCUCUUCCUUUGGCUUUCCUUUCGGAUCUACCUAGAACCAUUAUCGCUUCAGACCACGUGAUAGCUAAGGGAAGCAGGCCCACUUCCUCCUAAGGAUGGGUGGCCCGUUCACUGGACUGUGUGUGAACCCCGGUAACAAGGGAGGGUGGAGUGGGCCAAGUCUUUGGGUCAGCUUUGUAUAAAACCUAAAUGUGGUACCAAAUCAGCAGCACCUGAAGACCGAGUUCACAUUUUAACUCAACCCAAAAAAGGAAACCCGUGACUGUUUUUAAAGUCCAACGUCUUUCUCAUCCCAAUGAACGAGGACAUCUCUUUUUCUACAACCCUGUGAGGUGAGGUGAAAUUGCACUGUCCCUGGGGAAACUGAGAGGCAUGAAACCAUCCUGGCCUGAGUGAUCAGUGAAGACUGGAUGGGGAGGUCCAGCUUGGUCUGCACAAGACUGGAGCAAAGGAUGAAAAAAUUUGAAAGGGAAAAAGGAAAAAAAGCACCCAGCACAGUGCCAGGAAACCAGUAGAGACCAGCACUACUCACGUAUGGACCAAGGACCCCUGCACCAGAAGCUUGUUUAAAGGCUGCCAAUUCCUCAGCCCACUACAGGAUUCUGAAUCUCCAUCAGAAGACCUACCUCUCCCCAUCAAUGGAUGCCAGGAAGGGCCAUAUGUUUCAGGGACAGAUGCCCUUCACCCGGACCUGUAGCCUGGUCCCCCGCAGAUGCUGUC